RNAcentral lists this ribosomal RNA (257 nucleotides) under uncultured Basidiomycota. Its description in RNAcentral is "partial 18S ribosomal RNA". It matches the Rfam family "Eukaryotic small subunit ribosomal RNA", at positions 624 to 886 of the family's 1831-position model. Lineage: Eukaryota; Fungi; Basidiomycota. The record is from RNAcentral.
AAGCUCGUAGUUGAAUUUCGAAUGUGGCUGGGCGGUCCGCCUCACGGUGUGUACUGUCUGGCUGUGUUCUCUUUCUUGGUGAGCCAGCAUGCCCUUUACUGGGUGUGUUGGGGAACCAGGACGUUUACCUUGAGAAAAUUAGAGUGUUCAAAGCAGGCCUACGCCCGAAUACAUUAGCAUGGCAUAAUAAAAUAGGACGUGCGGUUCUAUUUUGUUGGUUUCUAGAGCCGCAGUAAUGAUUAAUAGGGAUAGUUGGG